Molecule: long non-coding RNA, 607 nt
Filed under: Homo sapiens (human)
Lineage: Eukaryota; Metazoa; Chordata; Mammalia; Primates; Hominidae
Description: non-protein coding lnc-IDI1-5:4
Source: RNAcentral
GGCAAACCCACGCAACGCUGGGUACAGGUGCAAACCUACACAACGCCAGAAGGUCCAGGCACAGGGGCAAACCCACGCAACGCUGGCAGGUCCAGGCACAGGUGCAAACCCAUGCGACGCCGGCAGGUCCAGGCACAGGUGCAAACCCACGUGACGCUGGGUACAGGUGCAAACCUACACAACGCCAGAAGGUCCAGGCACAGGGGCAAACCCAUGCAACGCUGGCAGGUCCAGGCACAGGUGCAAACCUACACGAUGCUGGACACAGGUGCAAACCCAUGCAACGCCAGCAGGUCCGGGCACAGGUGCAAACCUACACUACGCUGGACACAGGUGCAAACCUACAUGACGCUGGACACAGGUGCAAACCUACACGAUGCUGGACACAGGUGCAAACCUAUGUGUCACCGGCAGGUCCGGGUACAGGUGCAAAGCUACACAACGCUGGACACAGGUGCGAACCCACGCAAUGCCAGCAGGUCUGGGCACAGGUGCAAACCCACGCAACACUGGCAGGUCCGGGCACAGGUGCAAACCCACGAGAUGCUGGACACAGAUGCAAACCCACACAACGCUGGCAGGUCCAAGCACUCAGUGGCCACUCAAG